ACCACGCUGCCAAGAAAAGCCUCUAAGGAGUCCGUGGGUGACCGUACCGCAAACCGACACAGGUAGGCGAGGAGAAAAUCCUAAGGCGCUAGUGAGAACCCUCGUUUAGGAACUCGGCAAACUAACCCCGUAACUUCGGGAUAAGGGGUGCCCUUUCUGGUGAACGGACUUGCUCCGGAAGCUGGGAAGGGUUGCAGUGAAACGGCCCAAGCGACUGUUUACUAAAAACACAGGACUCUGCUAAGUCAUAAAAACGACGUAUAGGGUCUGACGCCUGCCCGGUGCCGGAAGGUUAAAGAGAGGGGUCAGCCGCAAGGCAAAGCUCUGAACUGAAGCCCCGGUAAACGGCGGCCGUAACUAUAACGGUCCUAAGGUAGCGAAAUUCCUUGUCGGGUAAGUUCCGACCUGCACGAAUGGCGUAACGAUUUGGGCGCUGUCUCAACGAGGGGCACUGCGAAUCUGUAGCACCGGUGAAGAUGCCGGUUUCCCGCAUCAAGACGGAAAGACCCCGUGCACCUUUACUGCAACCUAGCCUUGAACUUGGGUGCUUCCUGCGCAGGAUAGGUGGGAGGCUUUGAAGCCGGGCUCUUGGGCUCGGCGGAGCCAACGGUGAGAUACCACCCUUGAAGCUCUUAGGUUCUAACCUACUCCCGUAAUCCGGGAGAGGAACAUGGCUAGGCGGGUAGUUUGACUGGGGCGGUCGCCUCCUAAAGAGUAACGGAGGCGCUCGAAGGUUCUCUCAGGCUGCUUGGAAAUCAGCCGUCGAGUGCAAAGGCACAAGAGAGCUUGACUGCGAGACCCACAAGUCGAGCAGGUGCGAAAGCAGGACUUAGUGAUCCGGUGGUUUCUGUGUGGAAGGGCCAUCGCUCAACGGAUAGAAGGUCCGGGGAUAACAGGCUGAUCUGGUCCAAGAGUUCACAUCGACGACCAGGUUUGGCACCUCGAUGUCGGCUCAUCGCAUCCUGGAGCUGUAGCAGGUUCCAAGGGUUGGGCUGUUCGCCCAUUAAAGCGGUACGUGAGCUGGUUUUAGAACGUCGCGAGACAGUUCGGUCCCUAUCUGAUGUGGGCGCAGGAGACUUGAGAGGGCCUGUCCUUAGUACGAGAGGACCGGGAUGGACGAACCUCUAGUGCACCAGUUGUCUUGCCAAAGGCACAGCUGGGUAGCUACGUUCGGUUUGGAUAAGCGCUGAAAGCAUCUAAGCGCGAAACCAGCCUCAAGAUGACGUCUCCCGCAGCAUAAGCUGCCUAAAGACCCCUUGUAGACUACAAGGUUGAUAGGCCGGAUGUGCAAGAGCAGCAAUGCUCUCAGCUCCGGUACUAAUCGGUCGUGAGGCUUGACC
This 1340-nucleotide ribosomal RNA is filed under the name metagenome. RNAcentral describes it as "bacterial LSU rRNA". It matches the Rfam family "Bacterial large subunit ribosomal RNA", at positions 1599 to 2925 of the family's 2925-position model. The record is from RNAcentral.